Molecule: ribosomal RNA, 429 nt
Filed under: bacterium
Lineage: Bacteria
Description: partial 16S ribosomal RNA
Rfam family: Bacterial small subunit ribosomal RNA
Source: RNAcentral
UAGGGAAUCUUCGGCAAUGGGGGCAACCCUGACCGAGCAACGCCGCGUGAGUGAAGAAGGUUUUCGGAUCGUAAAGCUCUGUUGUAAGAGAAGAACGUGUGUGAGAGUGGAAAGUUCACACAGUGACGGUAACUUACCAGAAAGGGACGGCUAACUACGUGCCAGCAGCCGCGGUAAUACGUAGGUCCCGAGCGUUGUCCGGAUUUAUUGGGCGUAAAGCGAGCGCAGGCGGUUUAAUAAGUCUGAAGUUAAAGGCAGUGGCUUAACCAUUGUUCGCUUUGGAAACUGUUAAACUUGAGUGCAGAAGGGGAGAGUGGAAUUCCAUGUGUAGCGGUGAAACGCGUAGAUAUAUGGAGGAACACCGGUGGCGAAAGCGGCUCUCUGGUCUGUAACUGACGCUGAGGCUCGAAAGCGUGGGGAGCAAACAGG